AACGAACGCUGGUGGCAUGCCUAACACAUGCAAGUCGAACGAAGCCUUCGGGCUUAGUGGCGCACGGGUGCGUAACGCGUGGGAAUCUGCCCUUGGGUUCGGAAUAACAGUUAGAAAUGACUGCUAAUACCGGAUGAUGUCUUCGGACCAAAGAUUUAUCGCCCAAGGAUGAGCCCGCGUAGGAUUAGGUAGUUGGUGGGGUAAAUGGCCCACCAAGCCGACGAUCCUUAGCUGGUCUGAGAGGAUGAUCAGCCACACUGGGACUGAGACACGGCCCAGACUCCUACGGGAGGCAGCAGUGGGGAAUACUGGACAAUGGGCGAAAGCCUGAUCCAGCAAUGCCGCGUGAGUGAUGAAGGCCUUAGGGUUGUAAAGCUCUUUUACCAGGGAUGAUAAUGACAGUACCUGGAGAAUAAGCUCCGGCUAACUCCGUGCCAGCAGCCGCGG
Molecule: ribosomal RNA, 447 nt
Filed under: uncultured bacterium
Lineage: Bacteria
Description: bacterial SSU rRNA
Rfam family: Bacterial small subunit ribosomal RNA
Source: RNAcentral